RNAcentral lists this transfer RNA (83 nucleotides) under Candidatus Poribacteria bacterium. RNAcentral describes it as "tRNA-Tyr". It matches the Rfam family "tRNA". From Rfam's summary of the family: Transfer RNA (tRNA) molecules are approximately 80 nucleotides in length. Their secondary structure includes four short double-helical elements and three loops (D, anti-codon, and T loops). Lineage: Bacteria; Candidatus Poribacteria. The record is from RNAcentral.
GGGGAGGUACUCAAGCGGUCAACGAGGGCAGACUGUAAAUCUGUUGGCUAUUGCCUACGGAGGUUCGAAUCCUUCCCUCCCCA